RNAcentral lists this ribosomal RNA (197 nucleotides) under uncultured bacterium. RNAcentral describes it as "partial 16S ribosomal RNA". It matches the Rfam family "Bacterial small subunit ribosomal RNA", at positions 335 to 526 of the family's 1533-position model. The record is from RNAcentral.
CUCCCUACGGGAGGCAGCAGUGGGGAAUAUUGGACAAUGGGGGCAACCCUGAUCCAGCCAUGCCGCGUGGGUGAAGAAGGCCUUCGGGUUGUAAGCCCUUUGUACGGGAAGAAAAGCUACGGGUGAAUACUCCGUGGUCAUGACGGUACCGUAAGAAUAAGCACCGGCUAACUUCGUGCCAGCAGCCGCGGUAAUUC